UACGUAGGGCGCAAGCGUUAUCCGGAAUUAUUGGGCGUAAAGAGCUCGUAGGCGGUUUGUCGCGUCUGCUGUGAAAGACCGGGGCUCAACUCCGGUUCUGCAGUGGGUACGGGCAGACUAGAGUGCAGUAAGGGAGACUGGAAUUCCUGGUGUAGCGGUGAAAUGCGCAGAUAUCAGGAGGAACACCGAUGGCGAAGGCAGGUCUCUGGGCUGUAACUGACGCUGAGGAGCGAAAGCAUGGGGAGCGAACAGG
Molecule: ribosomal RNA, 253 nt
Filed under: uncultured bacterium
Lineage: Bacteria
Description: partial 16S ribosomal RNA
Rfam family: Bacterial small subunit ribosomal RNA
Source: RNAcentral